GCCAACGACCAUACCACGUAGGAACUACUGGUUCUCGUUCGAUCACCAAAGUCAAGCUACGUCGGGCAUGGUUAGUACUUGGAUGGGUGACCGCUUGGGAACACCGUGUGUUGUUGGUU
Non-coding RNA from Apis mellifera (honey bee), 119 nucleotides. Lineage: Eukaryota; Metazoa; Arthropoda; Insecta; Hymenoptera; Apidae. The record is from Rfam.